UGCGCAGGCGGUUCUCCAAGUCCGUUGUGAAAGCCCCGGGCUCAACCUGGGAAUGGCAGUGGAAACUAGGGGACUUGAAUCUGGCAGAGGGGGGUGGAAUUCCACGUGUAGCAGUGAAAUGCGUAGAGAUGUGGAGGAACACCGAUGGCGAAGGCAGCCCCCUGGGCUGCGAUUGACGCUCAGGCACGAAAGCGUGGGAGCAAACA
RNAcentral lists this ribosomal RNA (206 nucleotides) under uncultured bacterium. Its description in RNAcentral is "partial 16S ribosomal RNA". It matches the Rfam family "Bacterial small subunit ribosomal RNA", at positions 568 to 774 of the family's 1533-position model. The record is from RNAcentral.